GGACAUAUGAAAAGCAGUAUCCUUGGGUGUAUCUUUCUCCACUGCGCAUUUGUCCACGAUGGCUGUAACUUCUCCCUCGUCAUCCAAAAUCUCGCCUAAUAACUUUUUGGCGGCUUCCUCAUCUAUUUUACCGUCUUCUGUCAUGCUCCCUAGCUUCUUGUUAAAACAAAGCAUGUGGUCUUUUAGCUUGUCAUCAGCCUCGUCGAACUCCCCGUUCCAUGUUUUCUCUACGGCCUCUUUGGAGGCACCACUUGCAGAAAGACAUUCAUCACUCACUUUGCGAAACUUUUCCUCAUGUUCAUCGGGCAGAGCAGGCUUAGCACUAAUGGUCAUUAGCACCGAGCAAACGCAGAGUGUAAACAGAAAC
This 367-nucleotide unclassified non-coding RNA is filed under the name Hevea brasiliensis (rubber tree). Lineage: Eukaryota; Viridiplantae; Streptophyta; Magnoliopsida; Malpighiales; Euphorbiaceae. The record is from RNAcentral.